UAAGAUGGUUAACAUCAUGGAAACCAAAAUAGAGGGUUUUAUGCCCAGAACUGCAGCUGCAACUUAAAAGGAAUGAAGCUGGAUUGAAAAAACACUUCUGCAGUCCACAGAGACCAGGCUGAGUGCACAUCAGACAGGUUUUACGGAAGAGCGAGAUUCUGCUCUGACUUGCACCAGCAACCGGCCUCAGCAUCCCAUCAGCCUCUGGGUACAGGAAGCCCAACUGGCUGCUCUGACCAAAACCAGGGACUUCAUCGAACCUGUGAAGUCUUGGGGCAAACAUGCAACAAAAAUGAAGAAACUCAUCUCAUGAAGUUUAGUGUCUCCACUUGCUGUCCUACAUGUAAGUGUAAAGCAUCCUACAGGGCUACCAGGUAUAACCAUUCCCUCUGACUGACAAGGAAAUGACAUCCCUACCCCCGUCACCAGGUAACACAGGUCCUCAGUGGCUCCACCACAAGGAGUUCAAUUCACGCACAGUGCACAUGAAAUACCCAUCUUCCACAUUUGCAAAGGAUCAGAGAUAGCCAGUUUUUCCAGAGCUUUAAGAGCACUUUGCUCUCUGAAUACUCAAAAUCCAGUCCUGGCGGUCCAACCUGCAAUUACAGUCAAACCUAAAAUAGCACCACGGCAGUGCCAGCACCACUCAUCUCCACAUCAUGUCCUGAGACUCAUCACACCAGGGUGUGGCAACAGCAUGCAGCAAACGAGUUCCCUGGGCACUCCCAGCCCACUUCCUCGACACACCUGGUCACACACCACUCCCCACUCUCUUCCAAAAUAGAAAUUUUUUGGUAGAGCCAGUAUACCAGUGUAUUUUCCUCUUCUUCCCGCUUUAAGAAAUCCUUUUAGGGAAGAAGAAGGUGCCUGAGGUGCUCAGGUGACACAUCCACUCCCCUGCAUGGCACACUGUGAUGUAGGUUUAUGCACAAGGAGAACUUCCAGCACUGGUAGGAUUCCUCUAGCACAUCAUUGCACAAGGGGACACAUCUCCUCCAAAGCUCCAGCUGCCAAGUUUCACUGGGAAGCCACUAAUGCACAUUUGCUCUCCAGAAGGUAUUCAGUGAUGCCUGUGGGAGCAGCAGCUGCUGCCUUCCAGGUGACAAGGGAGCAGAGAGGGUAAAUUCAGGAGUCAUCUUUCACUACAAACCCUCAAGAACAGACCCUUUGGCAAAGUUCUGGGGGAGGAAGGGAGCUCAUCCAGUGUGCUGGCCUGGCCUUUGGCUACGGCAGGCUGUGCAGCCCCACUGCUCUCCCCAGUGAGUCCAGAAGAGGACAACCAUCUGCUUCUGGACACCAAGUUUUCCUGCCCACUCCAGAAGUAGUAUUUUCCUCACUAAUGCCAAGAGAUACCAUGCUAAUGUUGGAAGUUGUUUAAAAUAACUGAUAAAAUCCAUGGUGAUGAACAAGUUCCUGGGCAUGCUA
This is a long non-coding RNA of Corvus hawaiiensis (hawaiian crow), 1425 nucleotides long. RefSeq lists it as uncharacterized. The record is from RefSeq and is a predicted model, not a curated record. NCBI's taxonomy places the organism in Eukaryota, Metazoa, Chordata, Aves, Passeriformes, Corvidae. The transcript has 2 exons.